Molecule: long non-coding RNA, 659 nt
Filed under: Mytilus galloprovincialis (Mediterranean mussel)
Lineage: Eukaryota; Metazoa; Mollusca; Bivalvia; Mytilida; Mytilidae
Source: RNAcentral
CCCCCCAGAAAAUCAAAUGGUUGCUGCCUUACUUAAACAAAAUGCCAAAUUUCUUUUAAACCUAAAUAUUCAUUUGUUAUAAUUGAAUCAAACAGUUAAAAAAUUGUCAAUUAAUAAUUUCGAAUAGAUUUUAUAAAUUAACUUAAUUAUACUUACAGAAAUAGAAUACAGCAUGUAAAACGUACCAAAUCAAAAUGAUAUUUAGAAAUAACAUAUCGUUCAAUUCAUUCAAUAAAUCCAUACAGUAAUCUAUAUAUCUUUUGUCACCUAAAUAUUUUCUUAAGUUCAGGACUUCCAAAUGUAUAUUUAUAGUUUUGAACAUUCAUAUAGAAUUGAUCCCAUCUGUACAUUGUUAAAUACCAUUGUAUCGACAAUUAAGUCAUUGCACAAAAUAGGAUCCACGUCAUUCCGUAUACAAAAUAGAUAAACUUUAUAAUUACUAAGGGCUUCUGCUUGGAUUUUAAGGAUUAAUAUUCAGAGAGAUAAACAGUACCAAUAUAUCAUACAGAGUAAUCAGCAAGGACCGAUAACUCUGCAUGGGAGAUUGAAACUGUACAGCUACAUUCAUUUAACAGAUGUAUCGAAACGUACAAAAGAUAAGCAAUAAGCGAAGACGAAUUGAAACUCUUUGAUUUGAAAAUUGACAAUUUUUCAGCGAG